RNAcentral lists this ribosomal RNA (467 nucleotides) under uncultured bacterium. Its description in RNAcentral is "partial 16S ribosomal RNA". It matches the Rfam family "Bacterial small subunit ribosomal RNA", at positions 28 to 507 of the family's 1533-position model. The record is from RNAcentral.
GACGAACGCUGGCGGCGUGCUUAACACAUGCAAGUCGAACGGAAAGGCCCUGCUUUUGUGGGGUGCUCGAGUGGCGAACGGGUGAGUAACACGUGAGUAACCUGCCCUUGACUUUGGGAUAACUUCAGGAAACUGGGGCUAAUACCGGAUAGGAGCUCCUGCUGCAUGGUGGGGGUUGGAAAGUUUCGGCGGUUGGGGAUGGACUCGCGGCUUAUCAGCUUGUUGGUGGGGUAGUGGCUUACCAAGGCUUUGACGGGUAGCCGGCCUGAGAGGGUGACCGGCAACAUUGGGACUGAGAUACGGCCCAGACUCCAACGGGAGGCAGCAGUGGGGAUAUUGCACAAUGGGCGGAAGCCUGAUGCAGCAACGCCGCGUGCGGGAUGACGGCCUUCGGGUUGUAAACCGCUUUCGCCUGUGACGAAGCGUGAGUGACGGUAAUGGGUAAAGAAGCACCGGCUAACUACGUG